GAUUAACGCUAGCGGCAGGCCUAAUACAUGCAAGUCGAGGGGCAGCAGGGUGUAGCAAUACAUCGCUGGCGACCGGCGCACGGGUGCGUAACACGUAUGCAACCUACCUUUAACUGGGGAAUAGCCCUCCGAAAGGAGGAUUAACACCGCAUAACAUCACGAGACGGCAUCGCCUUGUGAUCAAACCUCCGGGGGUUAAAGAUGGGCAUGCGUCCGAUUAGCUAGUUGGCGGGGUAACGGCCCACCAAGGCGACGAUCGGUAGGGGGUCUGAGAGGAUGAUCCCCCACACUGGUACUGAGACACGGACCAGACUCCUACGGGAGGCAGCAGUAAGGAAUAUUGGACAAUGGUCGCAAGACUGAUCCAGCCAUGCCGCGUGCAGGAUGAACGAUCUAUGAUCUGUAAACUGCUUUUUGUUCGGGAAUAAACCCCUUCACGUGUGGAGGGCUGAAUGUACCGAAGAAUAGGGUCGGCUAACUUCGUGCCAGCAGCCGC
Molecule: ribosomal RNA, 496 nt
Filed under: uncultured bacterium
Lineage: Bacteria
Description: bacterial SSU rRNA
Rfam family: Bacterial small subunit ribosomal RNA
Source: RNAcentral